Molecule: long non-coding RNA, 2276 nt
Filed under: Triticum aestivum (bread wheat)
Lineage: Eukaryota; Viridiplantae; Streptophyta; Magnoliopsida; Poales; Poaceae
Description: long non-coding RNA (TAES_LNC023306)
Source: RNAcentral
AGCUUCAUGACGAACUAAAAUAAAAGCUUAUGACAGAAGAAACAUGCUUGGAUAGGCGUCCUUGUCGACCUCGCAGUCUCCAACCCAUCCUUAGGUAUUGCAGCUCCUUCCAAUCCAGUUUACUCCUUUUUGACAAUUUUCUUACUUGAGCCUUGGAGAUAUGCACUGAAUCGGCUAAUGUUUGCUCUGGGAAUUUCCUUUUGUAGAGAGGAUGUCUUGUCGAAUGUAGUUUUUAGUUCUUGAUCUUUUUUAUACAAGAUAUCUAAAUACUGUAAUUACUCUUGCUGGGAAGAAGGUUGUCAUGUAAGGGGAAAACUUUAGAAGUUACGCGACAUAAUUUAAACCAUGUGCAACUUGUUUGCUUCCUUGUUGUUUUAUUGCAUUCGAGAUCUUUACUAUUUUCACUGUCGAAAAUGCAGAGCAGAUCUUUAGUAUCUUGAAUUAUCAGUUAAAUUUGUUAGUUGUGAGAUGCAUAUGAUUCUGGCUUCAUUCACAACCAUUCAUGUGGUUUCUUCGGUUUGGUUGGUCGCUGCUGGUACUUCCAUGCCAUCUGAUUAUGUGGUAGAGUGCUUCGGAACUGUGUGUGGGGCCGGGUGUUGUCAGCCAGACCUGGGCGCCCUCGCCGGCGACUUGCUAUCUAACCCAUCCACAGGUUUUCCUACUCUUUGAUUUUCCUGUCCAAGUCCAUGAUUUGGUUUAUCUUGGUUGGCGUGCUUUUUUAUGUUACCUUGGUGGUCGAUGCAAUGAGAGGUGCAAAUGCAAGGCAAGACGACAUUAUAUAGGUUGUCCUGUGAGUUAGAAUAUCCAUGUGCUACUUAUUGUGGUGCGGCAUCAAGCAUGUUGAUUGAUUCUGAAGCAUGAGUAAACUGUAGUAAGCUGUGUGUACAGAUUCCUGAUUAUUCUGUAUGAUCCUCUAUUUUUUCCUUUAUGAUCCUCUUUAUUGUGGUGCGACACCAAACUUGGGUUAUUUACUUGCUUCCACUAUGAUUUCUGGGGAGGGCACUUUAUUGAUUUCUCAAACCUUGGAUCUAGACAUGUAAAUAGUUAAAUGAUUAUUUUGCUUUUCGAUUAAAUAUGAUACUAACUAAUCAUGUCUAUCUUAUACAAGCUUCAAUCUAUUCUAAAAAUUCUGUUUAUAAGGUACCAUCAGCUAUGACCCUAAUGGACCCCAAAUAAAAAGGAGAAAACAUUUGACACUUAUCGUGGCCAACCAUGAAACCGUGUUUCAGAAACUGCAUCAUAGCACAUAUUUCAACCAUCGUUUCCUGGUUUGUAAUAUGUACUAGCCUUCUGAAAAAGACUGAGGCUGCACUUGUUCCUGUCAGGUACUUGUAGCAAAUAUUUACUAACUUUUGUUCUUUCGAUCAGAUAACAAAAGUUUCUUGUCUCUUAAUAAAUUUUAGGUUGUCAUGUUACAAAAAGGCCUAUCUACAAAUAGGUGGACAAGAUAAAACAUUAAAAUAGACUAGAGCAUUUUCCAUCUCCAUUGAUAAGAAAUAGGUGAAAAGAAAUUAUACUUACUCUUUUCCUUCCUUGUGUAAAUUAAACCUCUUGUGAUGCUAUGUAGAAGAGGUAUAAUUUUUAUAUAUGGUGAAUCAUGAAGAAACUUAUAGCAUAGUUCUAUCAUCUAUGGUAUUGGUGAAUAGUAGUCAUAGUGGUUUAGGAUAGUUUUUCAUGUGUUGGCUAAUUGGUUAUUGGUUGUAAUUGUCAGUUUCUCUUCACAUAUGAACCAUGCAUACUUGCUGGUGGCUGAUCCAAAAAUGAUCUCAACCAAUAAAACUUUUAGCGAGUAUGUAAGAAUUGGAGUUCUGGAUAUGGAUAGCAGACUACUUUUCAUGGUACUCAGUUUCUUUAAUCCUGUACAUUUCGCAAAAAUAAUAUAUUCCUUUCGAUGUUUUGGAUUUUACCAUGUGAGUGCCUCUGGAGAGAUUGUUUAAUUGCUUUCUUAUGCUUCCACCUAUUUUCUUCCAGAACGAUGAUGUGCUUUCUGCUAAAAUUGUACACUAUGGUGUUGAUAAGCAUGAAUUAUUUGUUGUCCUCACAUACAGUUGUAAGCCUUAUCAACUUGAUCAUAGUGUUCUCUUUUUAUUUGUUAGCGGCAUGAUUGAAGGGCGAGACUACCAGCUGGUGAGGGAGAGGAUAUGUAUUCGGAGUGUCCUGAAGAGGUAGUCCACGAACCGGCAAUGGAGGAAAUAAGGUAGAGACGGCAAUAGCAGCAAGUACGUCAAGCGCUAGGGAUGUGGAUAUGGUGUGGCAUAAAGAGGUACUCCACAAAC